Molecule: ribosomal RNA, 399 nt
Filed under: uncultured bacterium
Lineage: Bacteria
Description: bacterial SSU rRNA
Rfam family: Bacterial small subunit ribosomal RNA
Source: RNAcentral
UAUUGGGCAAUGGGGGAAACCCUGACCCAGCAACGCCGCGUGAAGGAAGAAGGCUUUCGGGUUGUAAACUUCUUUUACCAGGGACGAAGAAAGUGACGGUACCUGGAGAAAAGGCUCCGGCUAACUACGUGCCAGCAGCCGCGGUAAUACGUAGGGAGCGAGCGUUAUCCGGAUUUACUGGGUGUAAAGGGAGCGUAGACGGCAGCACAAGUCUGGAGUGAAAUGCCGGGGCUUAACCCCGGAACUGCUUUGGAAACUGUGCAGCUAGAGUGCAGGAGAGGUAAGUGGAAUUCCUAGUGUAGCGGUGAAAUGCGUAGAUAUUAGGAGGAACACCAGUGGCGAAGGCGGCUUACUGGACUGUAACUGACGUUGAGGCUCGAAAGCGUGGGGAGCAAACAG